GUAAUUUUAGUUUAAUUAAAAUAAUGAUUUGUCUAGUCAUAGAUAGUUACUUAACUAAAUUGCU
RNAcentral lists this transfer RNA (64 nucleotides) under Taenia twitchelli. RNAcentral's name for it is "tRNA-Asp". Lineage: Eukaryota; Metazoa; Platyhelminthes; Cestoda; Cyclophyllidea; Taeniidae. The record is from RNAcentral.